UCAGUAAGUGCCCUGUGGGUAUG
Molecule: microRNA, 23 nt
Filed under: Gallus gallus (chicken)
Lineage: Eukaryota; Metazoa; Chordata; Aves; Galliformes; Phasianidae
Description: gga-miR-12270-5p
Source: miRBase by way of RNAcentral